GAUGAACGCUGGCGGCGUGCCUAAUACAUGCAAGUCGAGCGAACAGAUAAGGAGCUUGCUCCUUUGACGUUAGCGGCGGACGGGUGAGUAACACGUGGAUAACCUACCUAUAAGACUGGGAUAACUUCGGGAAACCGGAGCUAAUACCGGAUAACAUAUUGAACCGCAUGGUUCAAUAGUGAAAGGCGGCUUUGCUGUCACUUAUAGAUGGAUCCGCGCCGUAUUAGCUAGUUGGUAAGGUAACGGCUUACCAAGGCAACGAUACGUAGCCGACCUGAGAGGGUGAUCGGCCACACUGGAACUGAGACACGGUCCAGACUCCUACGGGAGGCAGCAGUAGGGAAUCUUCCGCAAUGGGCGAAAGCCUGACGGAGCAACGCCGCGUGAGUGAUGAAGGUCUUCUGAUCGUAAAACUCUGUUAUCAGGGAAGAACAAAUGUGCAAGUAACUGUGCACAUCUUGACGGUACCUGAUCAGAAAGCCACGGCUAACUACGUG
RNAcentral lists this ribosomal RNA (497 nucleotides) under uncultured bacterium. RNAcentral's name for it is "partial 16S ribosomal RNA". It matches the Rfam family "Bacterial small subunit ribosomal RNA", at positions 28 to 507 of the family's 1533-position model. The record is from RNAcentral.